This is a non-coding RNA of Schizosaccharomyces pombe (fission yeast), 467 nucleotides long. Lineage: Eukaryota; Fungi; Ascomycota; Schizosaccharomycetes; Schizosaccharomycetales; Schizosaccharomycetaceae. The record is from the annotation of a GenBank genome assembly.
AUGUAUUUCUGGUAGCAGCUAACUUUCCCCGACGCUCCUUCUGGGCAGAAAAUUUAUGCCGUUCGGCCUCUGAUUGCCCUGAAGAAAGAUCAGAGUCUUGGAUUAAAAUUUUAACAUCGGCAAAACGCUUAUCGCCUGGACCUUUCUGAACAGCAUUGAUAGCAUUCCGAAGUUCACGAUGAACUUUUGCACCGUCCUUUGACGAAGGAACAAUAAACCCUAAAGAAAUUAAAUUCCUCGGAUAGUCAAGCUCAAGAAGAUUUUUCCAAUACUGUGGAUAAAAUCGAGCAAUAGGAGUUAAGAUUAACACCUCCUCUUUGUUACGAAUGGGAUCGGAAGAUUCCGUAAUUUUGUUCAUAUCGUAUAUUUCGUAAGAAUUCCCCCCACGGUUUUCAAUCUGAACUUUGGCAUUUGAAUUGACAGAUGGAGUAAAUAGGUAAUAGAUGAAAGUAAUACCGAGGGCCACA